Molecule: ribosomal RNA, 111 nt
Filed under: Caerostris extrusa
Lineage: Eukaryota; Metazoa; Arthropoda; Arachnida; Araneae; Araneidae
Source: RNAcentral
AACGGCCAUACCAUACUGAAUAUACCGGUUCUCGUUAGAUCACCGAAGUCAAGCAUCAUUGGGCGCGGUCGGUCUUGGGUGAGUGACCACCUGGGAACACCGCGUGCCGUU